GAUGGAGCAGUCCGGACAAGGGGAGGAAGAGACGGCAUUGAAGACAGGAGUGCCAGAGGAGCAGGAGGAAGAGUUGGAGAAUGCUGAGGAGAAAUCCUCAGGUGAAACUCCCCUGGAGAAAUACAUGAAGAUGGUCUUGGAGGCAAGGGAGAAGCAGCGUGCACAGAGCCCUGAGAGAGAGGAGCCAGAGCACAUGAGCCCUGAGGCCAAGAGUUUGUCUGAGGAGAAAUAUGAAAGUGUUGCGGUGUAUUCACAUGAAGCUGUGGAUGAUGAGUUCUGGUAAAAGUCCUGAGGGGCUAAUAACUAACACUGAAUUUGAACAGACCUGCAUUUUCAUCAAUGUGAAGCAUUUUAAAGCUUUUUUUGUAUUUUUUAUGUAUAGUUGACAUUGUCCUUUUUUGAUGUAAUUUCAUCAAUUGCAUAUGUAUGAUUAAAUCCUUUUUUGUACUUGCUGUGAAGUUAGUUCAUUUCUUGAUUAAUGGUGAACUGAGCAACUUUUAGAUUGUCAAUCAUGCAAAGGAGAAACCAGACCACAAAAGAGUGGAGUUGAUGUUUUAUUUGUGUUUUAUUCAUAAAAACAGUCAACAGGCCAGUUGAGUAAUGUCAUAUAGGGGAUUCCAGUCAGACAGGGUACUGGAUUGUUGUCCUCCUGGUGAUUAACAAGGAGCCUUGAUUCUUAACUUUUUGGUUAAUUUAACAGACAACACAACAUGAGGCGAUGUGGUACACAGCAGCGUGUACUGUACAUCUGCCAUGUUUAUGCUGGGCCACUGUACACCUGUGGCUUUUAGUCCUGCACAGUGCAUUGCAGGUUCUGUACUAAAAUAUCUCAGAUACAUUUGUUUAUAAAACACUGGCCAAAAUGAGACUUACAAUGGCAUAUUUAUACUUUGGCUGAAUCUACCACUUAGAUUGCCAUAUCCAGCUCUAGAAAUGCAUUGCGUUGCAACUAAGGGGAAUCACUUUAAAAGUCUGUGAGGAGUGAAGCAUCGGUAAUUCAUGAGGAA
RNAcentral lists this long non-coding RNA (1007 nucleotides) under Myripristis murdjan (pinecone soldierfish). Its description in RNAcentral is "lncRNA (ENSMMDG00005024058.1)". The record is from RNAcentral. Lineage: Eukaryota; Metazoa; Chordata; Actinopteri; Holocentriformes; Holocentridae.